GCUGUGAUCUCAGUUUACUUUUGUUGUUUUUCAGAUUAGGCAUGAUAAAAUAUUACUGUAGAAAGGGGCAUUUCCAUGCAGUUACAACAAGCUGAUUGUUAAUGUCCCAUGGUAGUUGUACAAAUAACUUCCCUUUGAAAAAUGCAGUAUUUCUUAUUCAAACACUCAUUAGUGAACUAAAGGUGUUCAGUUAGUUCAAUAUUUAUUAUUGUUUUAUCUUGCUUCCUAGGUACUGUUACAACUGCAAUAAGUCAUUGUACACCCAUUGUAUCAGGAAUCAGGAUUUCUUUUUUUUUUUUUAAGGUAUUUUACACAACUUCAUCUACACUAUAAACUUCUAUUGGCAAACAUUUAAAUAACCUUACAGCCAAACCGUGCACCACAAAUGACCUAUUCAGUCAUUGGUUUUUUUGUCCACUGUCCUCUAUUUCUAUGACAGUUUGUUACACACUCCAACAGCACUGUGGGGGUACUGUUGCAGUACUGUUUGGGAUUUCAAGCCUACUGAUGAAUCAAUACAGUCCUUUCAUCCGUAGACAUCUUGUCUGCUUCUGUAUUUUCAGAACAAACCUCUCGUCGCAGUGUACCGUUACAGCAUCAAUCGUAUCUGAAUUAAAAUUACCAUAAAGGUGUUUUUGGGAUCAGCUAACACUUAUCUCCAAACCUUCCUUGUUGACAUUCUGCAGCAUCCACAGCAUUAGCUAUGCUGGAAGACAUUCAGUAAAAAUGAUGGCUAAAUUCUUUUUGUCAUUAUCUGUAAACUUGCAUCCUAAAACUUGUUUGAGAAUUUAUAUUGUGUGAAGAUAUUUAAUUACCUAAGAACACUGACAGAAUAAUGGAUUGGGUCCCAAAGCUAUAAAAAUAUGAUUUAUUGCAAUUGGAAUUUGCCUACAUGGGCAGGCCUAAUAGCUAAUAUGAAGGCUUUACUAGUUAAGGCUUUUUGGCUUCAUUUUUAAAAGACAUUGAUGUUACCAGAAACCUUUCUGAUAAAAAAGUAUCAUUUUUCUUCAUGAGAGUGCAUUAAAUGUAUCAUAAUCCUUCCUAUAUUCAUGACAUACCAUACAUCGUAUACAUCAAAUAUACAUGGAAUAUGUGCAUAUCAAUACAUACAUAUAUACAUCAAAAACACUGGAUCAGAAAUAAUUGCAUGUCUGCAAAAUAAAAUACGCAUAUAAAUCAAAAGACUCAGUGCAUUAGAUGCCAUUACAAUAAAUGAUUAACACAGUUAUUUAAUAGUUUGAAUAGUGUAGUGUUUGCUAGCAUUCUACCAACCUGAAAAUUUACAUUAAGAGAAAAUACCCACUAAAACCUGAAACUUGCUGAUGAUACACUUUUUACUGCACACAAGGACUGGUCUUUAUCUGACAACAGAGAUUAAAGAGCAGAUGAUGGACUAUCAUGCUACAGUAUAUACACCAAAAAACAUCAUCACACACUAGAAUUAAACUGCAGUUAAAAAAGUACAGUGUCAUGCAUUACUCUCUUAUCAUGUACUUAUACAGGAGCUUGGUUCAUUUGCAAUUAAUUUCCCACUUUUUCUGCAAAUCAGGAUAACUUAUUGUAAUCUGAGCUUCUACAUUUCUUUCAGACCUUAACAGUGGGCAGAAGCAGAGGCUGUCCUUCUGAGGAACUCUGCUGAAGUCGAUAGAUUACCUGACAUUGCUCUCCUCUCUUUCACCCUGUUGGAAAGUUGCAAUAGACCUGCAGAAACUGGUGGAUUAUGUAGUUUUAAUGGGGUUUAAAGGAGAGGCAGAAUGGACCCAGAGUUUUUAUUUGCAUCCUACUUCUACCCAUGGUUACUCAUACAAAAAAUGUUCCAUCCCUACCAGUUUGCCUUGAUACUAGCAAUCUGCAACAACUUCUUUAUGCCACAUGGUACAUAUUGACUAGUUAUAUCAGGUAAAUAAUGCAAAAAGGCAAUUACUAAACCCACUUUGGGACAGACUACAUACAACCCAGGAAACCUAGUCACUCCAUCAUCUUUUAAAAUCUCUUUAUUCUUUACAUAUGGACUAAAAAGAACGUACUACAGCAAUACACUUGCAUAACAGUUACACCCCUGAAGCAACUUGUAUUUUCAUCUUUUAAAUGCAGCUGAAGGAAUAAUUUAGUAUAAUUUUGCAGAAUUCCAGUCCUGUCACCUAUUUCCAUGUCACAUGCAAAAUCAUUAAUCGAUUCUGAAUUUGGGAAAUACACAUUCUUUUGGUGUUUUAGGUGAUUUAAAUGCUGUUUUGGUAGUGAAUGACUGUUGAUGACUGUGUAAAAUGCACCUGUACUGUACAUGAAAUGUAAUUAUUUCUGUGUAUCAUACAAAGAAACCAAGGUUGUUGUUUUGACAAUUUUGUUUGACAGUCAUAUAUCGUAUUUCAGAAGGCAGCAUAAUACACGCUAUGCUGAAUAAAUAGACAUUUGAGGAGUAUUUAAAUAAAACAUCUGCAUGCUUGAA
Long non-coding RNA from Strigops habroptila (Kakapo), 2446 nucleotides. The record is from Ensembl. Lineage: Eukaryota; Metazoa; Chordata; Aves; Psittaciformes; Psittacidae.